UUUUGUAUGUACGUAUGUUCGAACGCUCUGUGAUAUCAUGUAUUUCACCUCGAAAAUGUAUAACAAAUGCAAAUUUUUAUCGGGAGUGCUAAUUAAAGUACAUGCGAGUAUGAGAUAAAUAUUAUGUAUUGACGUAUUACGCAUUAGAUUGUCUUGUUUACCGCGUAUAUUCGCGAUUAAGUGUUUCGUUGCAGUAUGUGUGAUGUACUUCACGCGCGUUUUUACCCGCACUUACUUUUUUACAACAUGGUCGUUUAGGUUGUACACUCUCUUGGAACCUGAAUAUCCACGUAGUUCCGAAACUCUUUGAUUAACGAAUAGCAAACGUUAUCUAGC
Molecule: non-coding RNA, 336 nt
Organism: Linepithema humile (Argentine ant)
Lineage: Eukaryota; Metazoa; Arthropoda; Insecta; Hymenoptera; Formicidae
Source: RefSeq, a predicted model, not a curated record